Long non-coding RNA from Mus musculus (house mouse), 2446 nucleotides. RefSeq annotates it as predicted gene, 41257. Lineage: Eukaryota; Metazoa; Chordata; Mammalia; Rodentia; Muridae. The record is from RefSeq and is a predicted model, not a curated record. The transcript is spliced from 4 exons.
UAUUAAUGAUAACUGGGUUUUCUCAUUUUAGGGCUCAAAAGAGAGCUUGUAUCCUUUUGAAAUUAGUACAGUUUAGAGCAUGAUUUCAGUGCUAAUAUCUAGAAAGAAGAGUUUCAAAGCCAGAUCAACUUCCUAAGUCCUUAAAAAAAAUCUCAUUGCACAACAAAACUACUGAAGGCUCUAAGGUGUUUAAUCUUUUUAGAAAGCAUCAUUUUAAAAUUUGCUUCAGGUAGCAUAUUCCAGGUUUAUUUGCUCAUGCACUCUUUCUUUGAUGACAUCUACUAACAUAGAACAAUCAGAAAAAUUCCUUGGAACAUACAGAGCAUAUCUUUCCAAAUAUAGCAAAGGACACUUUACUUUUCUCAGACAGAUGGAGGCUGUCAUUUUAGUAGACAAAUACUGGUUUGGAUGCAUUAAGAAAAUAUAUGUCUCAUUUACAAUUUUAUGGAUUUUGUUGCUUGGGAUAGACCCAAUAUAUGUCAAAAAGAACAGAAUUCUAAAAUGUAAAGUAAAUGCCAUUAGAAAUAAUAUGUAAAGGUGACAAGAGCAUAAAGGUGGUAGGGGAAUGUCCAAAGGUUAGGUAAUGCUUGCUAGCUUUAAGUAGAACUGCAAACUUGUGUGCUAAUCCAGGAGGUACAUCACUUUGAAUCUGUAUACUCAGAUCCGAUCCAGUUAUCAGGAACCUAAAGCCAGGGUAAUUACUUAGUUCUCUAGAUCUGCCUUAAAAUAAUCCUCUGAGUUGGGGUCUUGGUCUCCUUUUCUGCUCAUAAAUACAGGUAAUGCAGUAGUCAGCAUGUAUACAGCUGCACCUAUCUGCACCAGGAGAACAGUGCCCAUACACAGACCCAGCACAUAUUAGUGAGACUGGGCUGUCACAUUCUAGGUUGGCUCUGGCUGGAGCAUGAGGCAGAGCUCUAAAUUAUUUGGGGGUCCCCAGGGAAAUGGUUAUUCUUUAGGUCUAUUUUCUCAAAGUUGCUGAGCAGUGUUCUUGAUCUGAGCUCCUUCCUAGAGUGUAGCAUCUUGCAUAGUUCUGUCUACAGAGGAUGUCCUAACGGAUGACCGAAUGACUGGACAGCUCGCAUAUUUCCUGCCAAAGGCCUAGAUGUUCUCAAGAACUGAACAGCAGGACGUUGAUACCGAAUUCCAUAACGACUGCACCAGUUUGCACAGCCACCAAAGAAAACUGGAAAAUGACAUAUGCUUAUAAUUUAGAGGCCAACUGACUGUGGGGACCCAACCCCAAAAGAUACAUCUACAGAUGAACCCAAGGCUCACAACCUUUUGGAAGAAGGGGCACCAACACUGAAGAAUCAGGCAACCAGGAAGUCUGCUGUGAGAUUGUUUCUCUAAGGAAUAACAGGAAAGCAGCAUCAACCAAAUAUCAACUAUAUGGAUGGCUAACAAAACUAGAACAGAGACAAUUUCAACAAACAUGGCAUGUCGGCAUGUGCCUGUUACUCCCACACACACAGAACUUGUGUGGGAAGAUUUCAAGUUCAAGACUAGCCUAAGUUAUGUAUAAGGCUAUAUCUAUGAAGAACACAUCAAAAGAAAAAUAGAAAUAAGAGAAAUGCUCCACUCUGAUUAUUUAUGAUAAAGAAGGCUGCACAUAGGUGAGUAGAGGAAGAAGAAUGUGGAAACUUUUUUGUUCAAAUUUGCUGUGAACCCAAUACUCUUCCAAAAAACUAAAGUCUAUUUCAAAAAAUAUCCAUUGACCUCUUAGAGGAACACUCAGAUUUGGUGAGCACUGGUUUCUGUAAUCAUCCACCCGAGCAGAACUACACACAGCUGCAGCACCAUUAUUAAAAUUAUUGCCUUUUCCUGUCCCAGCUAUGGAAGCUCACUACCUCACAGAGCCAUUUCCAUUGUUGGGCAGCACCAGGAUUCCAGAGCUCUUCUUUGUGUGAAACUGACGUCAGCCUCAUUGUGACUUCCAAUCACUGUGCGUCAUUCUUCCUGUUGGAACUACGCAGAAUAAAUCUAAUUUCUUAGCCACAUGAAGUUCAUUUAUAUAUUGGGAGGCAGAGUUCAUAUUCUCCCUGACUCUAGUUCAUUCCAAGUUUUCUUUUUCCAAGGCUGAAGAUUCUUUGUAUUUUCAGUGGUUCUUCCUCUAAUGCAAUUUCCAGACAAUUACUACCCUGAUUAAUAUGUCUACUCUUCUUAAUAUGUCAGUUUCUGAAAGUAUUCACAUCCCAUUGGGCACGUGCAGUAACUAUCUAGAAUGAAGACCUUCCUGUCUCCAUUAACCUUCCGUUAACUCUGGUUGCUGUGCUUGGCCUGCUGGUGUGUACUUGCUGAGUAUUAGCCUAAAUAAUCUUCCUUAUGGAAUGUUAUUACCAGCAAUGAACAUGAGGCUUUUCAUGUGGUAUGAAUUAGAGUUGAGUGGAUUUUUGCCAGCCUUCAGCCACCUACAACACAGAGUAAGUUGUAUGUCUGACAGUAAGAC